ACUGCGUGCUGCCAUAAGAUGGAUGCUCACAUCUGCAUGCUGCCGAGGGGAGAAACUGAGGCCCAGAGCACAGAAGAAAGGCUUUGGAGCUCAGCAAACCAAUGAUGGACACCAGAAGAAAUUGGCUGAGAUCUGAAAGGCUGGGUGGUAUCUGCGUUGGGACUUGUCAGAUGGUGGAGGAAGAUGAGAGAGACCACAGUAUGCAAGGUCACUGUGGUUUGCCAUGAAGCCUCUUGGAGACUUCUCGGAGCCUUCUCAAACCCUGGAUAAUGGCUUCCUGCCUGCCGCCUGUCCUGUCGAUGUGCCAUCGUCGUGUCUUCCCACACCUCUGGCCAGCUGCAAAUGCUCCUGCCUUGAAAGGUCCCGGAGAUCGGUGCAUUUCCUCCCCACAUCUCUUCAUGAAAAUGCAACAUGAAGCUACUUUUUCAGCUCAGCCUCCCCUCCCGGUCCUUUGUUGCCGUUAAAAGUUCUCAGAUGCCUCUCUUUUGUUUUGGAUACAGGCUACUCUGCCGCCACACCCCCAGCCUCUCCCUGGUGUUUCUCCCAUAUUGACAAUUACAUUUUGGGGAGUAGGCUACUUUCUUGACACAGUGAUAAUGAUAGUGAUAAUAAUAUUAAAAAUUAUACUAGCUGAUAUUUGAGUGUUAACUGCAUGUCAAACACUGAACUGUGGGCUUUCCCUCAUUUACUCUGCACGAUCAUCCUGGGAGGCAAGGACUAUCACUAAGGAGGAAACAGAGGCUAACAGAGCUUAAGUGGGUGUCCUGGGCCUGUCCAGCGAGUGGCUGAGACCGGAUAUAACACUAGGCAGCCUUUGUCAGCCUGUAUUCUCAAUCUUCUUACACCAGAACAGAUGGUGGUCAGCCAGGGACCUGUUCGAGGCCAAGGGGCAAUUAAUGUUAGAAACUGUUCAUGUAUUAUUAUUUUUUUUCAAGAAAAAAACAAGUUAUUCCAGGACUUGGAUAGUAACAUGGCAAAC
RNAcentral lists this long non-coding RNA (979 nucleotides) under Chinchilla lanigera (long-tailed chinchilla). RNAcentral's name for it is "lncRNA (ENSCLAG00000025918.1)". The record is from RNAcentral. Lineage: Eukaryota; Metazoa; Chordata; Mammalia; Rodentia; Chinchillidae.